This 2901-nucleotide ribosomal RNA is filed under the name Escherichia coli. Its description in RNAcentral is "partial 23S ribosomal RNA". It matches the Rfam family "Bacterial large subunit ribosomal RNA". Lineage: Bacteria; Pseudomonadati; Pseudomonadota; Gammaproteobacteria; Enterobacterales; Enterobacteriaceae. The record is from RNAcentral.
UUGUGAGGUUAAGCGACUAAGCGUACACGGUGGAUGCCCUGGCAGUCAGAGGCGAUGAAGGACGUGCUAAUCUGCGAUAAGCGUCGGUGAGGUGAUAUGAACCGUUAUAACCGGCGAUUUCCGAAUGGGGAAACCCAGUGUGUUUCGACACACUAUCAUUAACUGAAUCCAUAGGUUAAUGAGGCGAACCGGGGGAACUGAAACAUCUAAGUACCCCGAGGAAAAGAAAUCAACCGAGAUUCCCCCAGUAGCGGCGAGCGAACGGGGAGGAGCCCAGAGCCUGAAUCAGUGUGUGUGUUAGUGGAAGCGUCUGGAAAGGCGCGCGAUACAGGGUGACAGCCCCGUACACAAAAAUGCACAUAUUGUGAGCUCGAUGAGUAGGGCGGGACACGUGGUAUCCUGUCUGAAUAUGGGGGGACCAUCCUCCAAGGCUAAAUACUCCUGACUGACCGAUAGUGAACCAGUACCGUGAGGGAAAGGCGAAAAGAACCCCGGCGAGGGGAGUGAAAAAGAACCUGAAACCGUGUACGUACAAGCAGUGGGAGCCUCUUUAUGGGGUGACUGCGUACCUUUUGUAUAAUGGGUCAGCGACUUAUAUUCUGUAGCAAGGUUAACCGAAUAGGGGAGCCGAAGGGAAACCGAGUCUUAACUGGGCGUUAAGUUGCAGGGUAUAGACCCGAAACCCGGUGAUCUAGCCAUGGGCAGGUUGAAGGUUGGGUAACACUAACUGGAGGACCGAACCGACUAAUGUUGAAAAAUUAGCGGAUGACUUGUGGCUGGGGGUGAAAGGCCAAUCAAACCGGGAGAUAGCUGGUUCUCCCCGAAAGCUAUUUAGGUAGCGCCUCGUGAAUUCAUCUCCGGGGGUAGAGCACUGUUUCGGCAAGGGGGUCAUCCCGACUUACCAACCCGAUGCAAACUGCGAAUACCGGAGAAUGUUAUCACGGGAGACACACGGCGGGUGCUAACGUCCGUCGUGAAGAGGGAAACAACCCAGACCGCCAGCUAAGGUCCCAAAGUCAUGGUUAAGUGGGAAACGAUGUGGGAAGGCCCAGACAGCCAGGAUGUUGGCUUAGAAGCAGCCAUCAUUUAAAGAAAGCGUAAUAGCUCACUGGUCGAGUCGGCCUGCGCGGAAGAUGUAACGGGGCUAAACCAUGCACCGAAGCUGCGGCAGCGACACUAUGUGUUGUUGGGUAGGGGAGCGUUCUGUAAGCCUGUGAAGGUGGCCUGUGAGGGUUGCUGGAGGUAUCAGAAGUGCGAAUGCUGACAUAAGUAACGAUAAAGCGGGUGAAAAGCCCGCUCGCCGGAAGACCAAGGGUUCCUGUCCAACGUUAAUCGGGGCAGGGUGAGUCGACCCCUAAGGCGAGGCCGAAAGGCGUAGUCGAUGGGAAACAGGUUAAUAUUCCUGUACUUGGUGUUACUGCGAAGGGGGGACGGAGAAGGCUAUGUUGGCCGGGCGACGGUUGUCCCGGUUUAAGCGUGUAGGCUGGUUUUCCAGGCAAAUCCGGAAAACCAAGGCUGAGGCGUGAUGACGAGGCACUACGGUGCUGAAGCGACAAAUGCCCUGCUUCCAGGAAAAGCCUCUAAGCAUCAGGUAACAUCAAAUCGUACCCCAAACCGACACAGGUGGUCAGGUAGAGAAUACCAAGGCGCUUGAGAGAACUCGGGUGAAGGAACUAGGCAAAAUGGUGCCGUAACUUCGGGAGAAGGCACGCUGAUAUGUAGGUGAAGCGACUUGCUCGUGGAGCUGAAAUCAGUCGAAGAUACCAGCUGGCUGCAACUGUUUAUUAAAAACACAGCACUGUGCAAACACGAAAGUGGACGUAUACGGUGUGACGCCUGCCCGGUGCCGGAAGGUUAAUUGAUGGGGUUAGCGGUAACGCGAAGCUCUUGAUCGAAGCCCCGGUAAACGGCGGCCGUAACUAUAACGGUCCUAAGGUAGCGAAAUUCCUUGUCGGGUAAGUUCCGACCUGCACGAAUGGCGUAAUGAUGGCCAGGCUGUCUCCACCCGAGACUCAGUGAAAUUGAACUCGCUGUGAAGAUGCAGUGUACCCGCGGCAAGACGGAAAGACCCCGUGAACCUUUACUAUAGCUUGACACUGAACAUUGAGCCUUGAUGUGUAGGAUAGGUGGGAGGCUUUGAAGUGUGGACGCCAGUCUGCAUGGAGCCGACCUUGAAAUACCACCCUUUAAUGUUUGAUGUUCUAACGUUGGCCCGUAAUCCGGGUUGCGGACAGUGUCUGGUGGGUAGUUUGACUGGGGCGGUCUCCUCCUAAAGAGUAACGGAGGAGCACGAAGGUUGGCUAAUCCUGGUCGGACAUCAGGAGGUUAGUGCAAUGGCAUAAGCCAGCUUGACUGCGAGCGUGACGGCGCGAGCAGGUGCGAAAGCAGGUCAUAGUGAUCCGGUGGUUCUGAAUGGAAGGGCCAUCGCUCAACGGAUAAAAGGUACUCCGGGGAUAACAGGCUGAUACCGCCCAAGAGUUCAUAUCGACGGCGGUGUUUGGCACCUCGAUGUCGGCUCAUCACAUCCUGGGGCUGAAGUAGGUCCCAAGGGUAUGGCUGUUCGCCAUUUAAAGUGGUACGCGAGCUGGGUUUAGAACGUCGUGAGACAGUUCGGUCCCUAUCUGCCGUGGGCGCUGGAGAACUGAGGGGGGCUGCUCCUAGUACGAGAGGACCGGAGUGGACGCAUCACUGGUGUUCGGGUUGUCAUGCCAAUGGCACUGCCCGGUAGCUAAAUGCGGAAGAGAUAAGUGCUGAAAGCAUCUAAGCACGAAACUUGCCCCGAGAUGAGUUCUCCCUGAGACUUAGAGUCUCCUGAAGGAACGUUGAAGACGACGACGUUGAUAGGCCGGGUGUGUAAGCGCAGCGAUGCGUUGAGCUAACCGGUACUAAUGAACCGUGAGG